Molecule: ribosomal RNA, 275 nt
Filed under: uncultured bacterium
Lineage: Bacteria
Description: partial 16S ribosomal RNA
Rfam family: Bacterial small subunit ribosomal RNA
Source: RNAcentral
GCGUGAAUGAUGAAGGCCUUCGGGUUGUAAAAUUCUUUUGGUGGGGACGAUAAUGACGGUACCCACAGAAUAAGCUCCGGCUAACUUCGUGCCAGCAGCCGCGGUAAUACGAAGGGAGCUAGCGUUGUUCGGAAUUACUGGGCGUAAAGGGCGCGUAGGCGGUAAGAACAGUCAGGUGUGAAAUCCCAAGGCUCAACCUUGGAACUGCGCUUGAUACUUUCUUGCUUGAAUUCGGUAGAGGUGAGUGGAAUUCCCAGUGUAGAGGUGAAAUUCGU